CUUCGGGUUGAGUGGCGGACGGGUGAGUAACGCGUGAGAAUCUGCCUUGGGGUCGGGGACAACCACUGGAAACGGUGGCUAAUACCGGAUAAGCCUUUGGGUAAAAAAUUUAUUGCCCCAAGAGGAGCUCGCGUCUGAUUAGCUAGUUGGUGAGGUAAAAGCUCACCAAGGCAGCGAUCAGUAGCUGGUCUGAGAGGACGAUCAGCCACACUGGGACUGAGACACGGCCCAGACUCCUACGGGAGGCAGCAGUGGGGAAUUUUCCGCAAUGGGCGAAAGCCUGACGGAGCAAGACCGCGUGAGGGAGGAAGGCUCUUGGGUUGUAAACCUCUUUUCUCAGGGAAGAAGCUCUGACGGUACCUGAGGAAUCAGCCUCGGCUAACUCCGUGCCAGCAGCCGCGGUAAUACGGAGGAGGCAAGCGUUAUCCGGAACUAUUGGGCGUAAAGCGUCCGCAGGUGGCGAUUCAAGUCUGCUGUCAAAGCACGGGGCUUAACUCCGUUAAGGCAGUGGAAACUGAAUAGCUAGAGUGCAGUAGGGGUAGAGGGAAUUCCCGGUGUAACGGUGAAAUGCGUAGAGAUCGGGAAGAACAUCGGUGGCGAAAGCAGCUCUACUGGACGGCAACU
RNAcentral lists this ribosomal RNA (624 nucleotides) under uncultured organism. RNAcentral's name for it is "bacterial SSU rRNA". It matches the Rfam family "Bacterial small subunit ribosomal RNA", at positions 84 to 741 of the family's 1533-position model. The record is from RNAcentral.